UUGACUGUGCUAAGGUAGCAUAAUAAAUUGGCUUUUAAUUGAAGUCGGGAAUGAAAGGGUGUUUGGAGUUAUUCUGUCUUAUUUUUAUUUUUUAAAAAUUACUAAUGAGGUGAAAAUUCCUCAGUGCUUAUCUGAUAGACGAGAAGACCCUAAGAAUUAUUACAACUAUUAAAUUGAAUUAAUAAAAGUUUUUGUUGGGGCAACAGCUUUGAAUAACCAAAGUUAAAAUUUAUCAUAAAAAGAUUAUAUUAAAAACGGAUUUAAUUACCUUAGGGAUAACAGCAUAAUUAUAUAUUAGAUUGUGACCUCGAUGUUGGAUUAAGGCCU
This 327-nucleotide ribosomal RNA is filed under the name Pyramidula pusilla. Its description in RNAcentral is "partial 16S ribosomal RNA". Lineage: Eukaryota; Metazoa; Mollusca; Gastropoda; Stylommatophora; Pyramidulidae. The record is from RNAcentral.